This 506-nucleotide ribosomal RNA is filed under the name uncultured bacterium. Its description in RNAcentral is "partial 16S ribosomal RNA". It matches the Rfam family "Bacterial small subunit ribosomal RNA", at positions 29 to 523 of the family's 1533-position model. The record is from RNAcentral.
AGUGAACGCUGGCGGUAGGCCUAACACAUGCAAGUCGAACGGCAGCACAGGAGAGCUUGCUCUCUGGGUGGCGAGUGGCGGACGGGUGAGGAAUACAUCGGAAUCUACUCUGUUGUGGGGGAUAACGUAGGGAAACUUACGAUAAUACCGCAUACGACCUACGGGUGAAAGCAGGGGACCUUCGGACCUUGCGCGAUUGAAUGAGCCGAUGUCGGAUUAGCUAGUUGGCGGGGUAAAGGCCCACCAAGGCGACGAUCCGUAGCUGGGCUGAGAGGAUGAGCGGCCACACUGGAACGGAGACACGGUCCAGACUCCUAGGGGAGGCAGCAGUGGGGAAUAUUGGACAAUGGGCGCAAGCCUGUUCCAGCCAUACCGCGUGGGUGAAGAAGGCCUUCGGGUUGUAAAGCCCUUUUGUUGGGAAAGAAAUCCAGCUGGCUAAUACCCGGUUGGGAUGACGGUACCCAAAGAAUAAGCGCCGGCUAACUGCGUGCCAGCCGCCGCGGUAA